This 483-nucleotide ribosomal RNA is filed under the name uncultured bacterium. RNAcentral's name for it is "partial 16S ribosomal RNA". It matches the Rfam family "Bacterial small subunit ribosomal RNA", at positions 29 to 507 of the family's 1533-position model. The record is from RNAcentral.
UUGCACGCUGGCGGCAUGCUUUACACCUGCCAGUCGAACGGCAGCGCGGGCUUCGGCCUGGCGGCGAGUGGCGAACGGGUGAGUAAUGCAUCGGAACGUGCCCAGUAGUGGGGGAUAGCCCGGCGAAAGCCGGAUUAAUACCGCAUACGACCUGAGGGUGAAAGCGGGGGACCGAAAGGCCUCGCGCUAUUGGAGCGGCCGAUGUCGGAUUAGCUAGUUGGUGGGGCAAAGGCUUACCAAGGCGACGAUCCGUAGCUGGUCUGAGAGGACGACCAGCCACACUGGGACUGAGACACGGCCCAGACUCCUACGGGAGGCAGCAGUGGGGAAUUUUGGACAAUGGGGGCAACCCUGAUCCAGCCAUGCCGCGUGCGGGAAGAAGGCCUUCGGGUUGUAAACCGCUUUUGUUCGGGAAGAAAUCCUCUGGGCUAAUACCCCGGGGGGAUGACGGUACCGGAAGAAUAAGCACCGGCUAACUACGUG